UACUGAUUUAAGCACGGCCAUGGGAGCCGCUGAAUGCUUGAGCGACUACCAAACAGAAUCUAGAAAAGAUCGACCUUCGGGGAGUAAUCAAGCAAUUGGAGGUGGUAACAGAUCUUACAGACCUAGCUCGAACCCAAAUGGGGGAGAGCGCUACUCUCAAAAUAGAGAAGGAGCCUAUCAAAGCACCCGUGGCUUUCAGGGAAAUUAUCAUAACAGUCGUCAGGGAAAUUUUAACGGCAGUAAUAGUAACAACUGGAACAAAGGGAAAGCAACGGAGGGCCGAACUGAUGCCACUCUCAAAUUGAAGUGCUUUUUAUGUGAAGGACCUCAUCGGGUGUCGGAGUGUCCUCAGAAGCGGAUGGUGAAUGCAUAUUGUCAGUUAGCAAGUGGCGGGCCUAGUUCAAAACAAGAGGUCCCGCAAGCUAAUUGUCAUAAUGAGACUGACUCUGAAGAGGAUGAGGAAGUAGUUGGGGCAUUUUCACAUCGGUGCAACACACUAUCGCAUCGGGUUGCUGAAAAGGAUGAUGUCCCAUUGAAAGAGGCAAAGAUGGAAGAAGCGAAGGCACGAAUUUGUAUGGCUAAAGGCUUAAUAUACAUUGAUGUAAAAAUCGAUGGGAAGCCAAUCAGGGCUAUGGUGGAUACUGGUGCUACCCACAACUACCUUGCAUGNCAUCGGGUUGCUGAAAAGGAUGAUGUCCCAUUGAAAGAGGCAAAGAUGGAAGAAGCGAAGGCUCGUAUUUGUAGGGCCAAAGGCUUAAUGUUCAUUGAUGUAAAAAUCAAUGGGAAGCCAAUCAGGGCUAUGGUGGAUACUGGUGCUACCCACAACUACCUUGCAUGUACCGAAGUAGAGCGGCUCGGACUGGUUCUAGAAAAGGGUAGUGGAAAAGUCAAAGCAAUCAACUCCGCUGCUCAACCAAUAGCUGGAGUGGCGAAAUCGGUGUUGAUCAAAGCAGGUCCUUUCGAGGGAAGGACAAAUUUAUCUGCAGUUCAGAUGGAUGAUUUCAAGCUUAUUCUGGGAUUGGAAUUUCUUCGGGAUACUAAGACAGCAGUGUUGCCAUAUUCCGAUUCGUUAAUGAUGAUGGGUAAUAAGCCGUGUGUCAUCCCUACACAGGUUGGGAGGAUGGGCGAGAAGAGUAUCUCAGCCAUGCAAUUUAGUAAAGGUUUCAAGAGAAGUGAACCCUCCUUUUUGUGUACUCUUCGAUUAGAGGAGGUCGAAGAGGCGAAUGGUCCUAUUCCAAAACCCGUUAAAAGGCUUAUUCGGGAAUUUGAGGACAUCGUGCCGGAAGAAUUACCAAAGAAAUUACCACCAAGAAGGACGAUUGAUCAUGAAAUCGAACUUAUUCCAGGCGCUAAAGCUCCCGCCAGGGCACCAUGCCGUAUGUCUUAGCCUGAGCUUGAAAAGCUUAGGAAGCAGUUGGGGGAAAUGUUGGAGAGUGGAAUCAUUGUGCCUGCAAAGUCGCCAUACGGAGCUCCUGUAUUGUUUCAGAAAAAGACUGAUGGCUCUCUUAGAAUGUGCUGUGACUAUCGAGCCCUGAACAAGAUUACUGUAAAGAAUUGCUAUCCUAUCCCACUAGUCGCAGAUUGCUUCGAUCGACUGAGUCGGGCGAAGUAUUACACAAAAAUUGAUCUCAGGUCCGGAUACUGGCAAGUUCGGAUUAAGGAGGGAGACGAAGCAAAGACUACGGUGGUAACCAGAUAUGGAGCCU
This 1706-nucleotide long non-coding RNA is filed under the name Olea europaea subsp. europaea. Lineage: Eukaryota; Viridiplantae; Streptophyta; Magnoliopsida; Lamiales; Oleaceae. The record is from RNAcentral.